AAUCCAUUCCGAACUCAGAAGUGAAACACACCAGCGCCGAUGGUAGUGUGGGGUCUCCCCAUGCGAGAGUAGGUCACCGCCAGAC
Molecule: ribosomal RNA, 85 nt
Filed under: Idiomarina sp.
Lineage: Bacteria; Pseudomonadati; Pseudomonadota; Gammaproteobacteria; Alteromonadales; Idiomarinaceae
Source: RNAcentral